Molecule: unclassified non-coding RNA, 481 nt
Filed under: Hevea brasiliensis (rubber tree)
Lineage: Eukaryota; Viridiplantae; Streptophyta; Magnoliopsida; Malpighiales; Euphorbiaceae
Source: RNAcentral
GUGGCAAAGUUGAUUGAACUGAAUAUUGUGUGUUUGCCAUUUGGUAGGACUUACGGUUAGGAUGGGUUUUCAUUUUUCAACCCUUUCUAUAUAUCACAUAUAGCUUGGUUGAAUACAUAAAGCAGAGAUUUAGUUGGCAAUAGAAACCCUGCUGGUGAGAUAAAGUUGGAGCAUUCGAGAAAGAAUGUCGGAGAAAAGAUAUAAAUUUUGAAUAUUUUCAUUUUUGCUGAUAUUGUAUAAAUUUUAGAUUGUGGAUGACAUCAGUUAAAAGAAAAAAAGUAAUUUACUGAAUGUGUUAUCUAUUUUCUCUUAGAAUAAUAAAGGAAAUUGGUAUAUCUAAGUGUUGAAGGGUUAUUGAUCUGUGUAUAUUUUGCCUUUUCAUAUAAUUCAAUGCUUUACUGGAGUGUCUACUGCUUGUCUAAAAUUUGAAUUGAUACAUGCAUCAUUUUGUGAUUUUAGGGAAUUCGGCAAUUUGGGACUG